CAAACAAAAAUAAAUAUCCAGAUCUGCUAAGCCAUAUAUUUUCAGCAGAGUUUCCCAAAACUCAUAGCUUCUGCACAGUCUGCAGGUAACAAAUAUUGUAUUUAAAUAUCUAACUUCAAAGAGAAAUGACUGCAGAAGAAGCUCUGCUUUUCUUUUUAAUUAAAACUUUGAGAAUAUUACUGGAGUGGACCCCAAAAGUUAAAGAGCAGAAGGUAAAUAAAAUGUUAUGUGUCUUAAUGUCUUUGCAGUUGGACCUUACAAUUGCUCGAUCCCGUUAUCUUGGCUCCAAGAGCCAAGGACAUGCGGGAGAUGUUGUGCGUCCGUUUGGAGACGAAGCGGAUAGGCGCAGUGGUGGAGAUGACAAGGGUGUCCACGAAGUGAGAGACUUGCCAGGCUUUCGCGGAUCCUGCUCCUUGCCAGCAGCUGUGAAAAUGAACACUUCUUGCAGCAUGUCCUGGGGAGCAGCACCCAGCAAUCCUGGCUAGCACAGGAGAAGCGCAAGCCCCAGCCUGCAGGCCUUGAGGAUUAGACCCUGCAGCUUGAUAGCGCCUCCUGCUGUUGCACACCCUGCUCCUGAGAUGUCCCACAUUGCUCUAUCCCACUGUGAGCGCCAGCAGCUGCCCUUGUCCUCUGGUCACUCUCGUUCCCGCGGCUCCGCAUGGCCUCCACGCUUGCCCCAUCUCAUCUGUGGUGCGGCCGGCAGCGGGCUGCCCCACAUGCUGCUGCCCAGGUGCACGCCAAUGCCACUUUGCGUGGCCAGCAGUUGCAUCCCAGGACAGCCCCGAGAGGCAGAGUAUGAGCAGAGAUACUGGAAAAGCUUUGUCCCACACUAACAUUUGGAGGACAAGGAUAUUGUGUUUUAUGAUGUUGCGGAAACACACUCUCUGUUCCCUGAGUUUGGUUUUGCAGCAGACAAAUGACAUCCUCUCUUCUGGAUGAGAAGUCAGAGCUGAAAGGCUGGUUGGUAAUACGUGGCUGUUUCUUUUUGAAUGUGUGAUUUACAUUUUUUAAAAGUCUGAUGCAUCGAAGUAG
Molecule: long non-coding RNA, 1032 nt
Filed under: Apteryx owenii (little spotted kiwi)
Lineage: Eukaryota; Metazoa; Chordata; Aves; Apterygiformes; Apterygidae
Description: lncRNA (ENSAOWG00000000651.1)
Source: RNAcentral